AUAGUUAAGCAUCUCCCUUACACCGAGAAGACAUCCAUGCAAAUUGGAUCGCCCUGAGCUAAAUAGCUAG
Molecule: transfer RNA, 70 nt
Filed under: Misgurnus anguillicaudatus (oriental weatherfish)
Lineage: Eukaryota; Metazoa; Chordata; Actinopteri; Cypriniformes; Cobitidae
Description: tRNA-Val
Source: RNAcentral